GCGGGAGGAAGCUCACUGUAGAGGUCACGUGCUGAGUGCCUAGUCACUCCACCAAUCAUCUCGGGGAAGGUCUGAGACAAGAGCCAAUAGCUGUCCUCACAGGACAUCAUCUGAUCCAGAUGAGCGAGUGCACAGAAACUGUGGAGCCAUAGCGGGAUGCUGAGCGCACGAGACGUCGGUAACCGCCGAUACAGUGCAGUUACCGACUGAUGCGGCUCUCGCGCGGCUUUGGAAACGCUCGCGGCUGGCGAAUGAGUGCGAUGUGUGAGCUGGUCCACGUGACCGGAACCUAAUUCAGACUACUCUCCCCCUGC
Molecule: ribozyme, 314 nt
Organism: Ictalurus punctatus (channel catfish)
Lineage: Eukaryota; Metazoa; Chordata; Actinopteri; Siluriformes; Ictaluridae
Rfam family: Nuclear RNase P
About the family: Ribonuclease P (RNase P) is a ubiquitous endoribonuclease, found in archaea, bacteria and eukarya as well as chloroplasts and mitochondria.
Source: Ensembl